Molecule: transfer RNA, 77 nt
Filed under: Clostridium sp.
Lineage: Bacteria; Bacillati; Bacillota; Clostridia; Eubacteriales; Clostridiaceae
Also listed under: 4 other names
Description: tRNA-Arg
Rfam family: tRNA
About the family: Transfer RNA (tRNA) molecules are approximately 80 nucleotides in length. Their secondary structure includes four short double-helical elements and three loops (D, anti-codon, and T loops). Further hydrogen bonds mediate the characteristic L-shaped molecular structure. tRNAs have two regions of fundamental functional importance: the anti-codon, which is responsible for specific mRNA codon recognition, and the 3' end, to which the tRNAs corresponding amino acid is attached (by aminoacyl-tRNA synthetases). tRNAs cope with the degeneracy of the genetic code in two manners: having more than one tRNA (with a specific anti-codon) for a particular amino acid; and 'wobble' base-pairing, i.e. permitting non-standard base-pairing at the 3rd anti-codon position.
Source: RNAcentral
GUGCCCAUAGCUCAAUUGGAUAGAGUGCUUGACUACGGAUCAAGAGGUUGAGGGUUCGACUCCUUCUGGGCACGCCA